GCCUUUGUGGUGUAGUUGUCAUCACACUGGGCGCGUAUUCCAGAGGUCCGUGGUUCGAGUCCUGGUGAAGGCG
RNAcentral lists this transfer RNA (73 nucleotides) under Stegodyphus mimosarum. It matches the Rfam family "tRNA". From Rfam's summary of the family: Transfer RNA (tRNA) molecules are approximately 80 nucleotides in length. The record is from Rfam by way of RNAcentral. Lineage: Eukaryota; Metazoa; Arthropoda; Arachnida; Araneae; Eresidae.